RNAcentral lists this ribosomal RNA (300 nucleotides) under uncultured Bacillus sp. RNAcentral's name for it is "bacterial SSU rRNA". It matches the Rfam family "Bacterial small subunit ribosomal RNA", at positions 494 to 795 of the family's 1533-position model. The record is from RNAcentral. Lineage: Bacteria; Bacillati; Bacillota; Bacilli; Caryophanales; Bacillaceae.
GGGUUAUCCGGGUCCAGAGGUCGGGGUAAUACGGAGUGCGUGAGUGGUGUACGGAAGUUGUGGGCGUACAGAGCACGUCGGCGGGUUGUCACGUCGGGUGUGAGAGCGCGGGGCUGAACCCCGGGUCUGCAUUCGGUACGGGCAGGCUAGAGUGUAGUAGGGGAGAUCGGAAUUCCUGGUGUAGCGGUGAAAUGCGCAGAUAUCAGGAGGAACACCGGUGGCGAAGGCGGAUCUCUGGGCCAUUACUGACGCUGAGGAGCGAAAGCGUGGGGAGCGAACAGGAUUAGAUACCCUGUAGUC